RNAcentral lists this ribosomal RNA (610 nucleotides) under Pseudomonas synxantha. RNAcentral's name for it is "bacterial SSU rRNA". The record is from RNAcentral. Lineage: Bacteria; Pseudomonadati; Pseudomonadota; Gammaproteobacteria; Pseudomonadales; Pseudomonadaceae.
AGUCGAGCGGUAGAGAGAAGCUUGCUUCUCUUGAGAGCGGCGGACGGGUGAGUAAUGCCUAGGAAUCUGCCUGGUAGUGGGGGAUAACGUUCGGAAACGGACGCUAAUACCGCAUACGUCCUACGGGAGAAAGCAGGGGACCUUCGGGCCUUGCGCUAUCAGAUGAGCCUAGGUCGGAUUAGCUAGUUGGUGRGGUAAUGGCUCACCAAGGCGACGAUCCGUAACUGGUCUGAGAGGAUGAUCAGUCACACUGGAACUGAGACACGGUCCAGACUCCUACGGGAGGCAGCAGUGGGGAAUAUUGGACAAUGGGCGAAAGCCUGAUCCAGCCAUGCCGCGUGUGUGAAGAAGGUCUUCGGAUUGUAAAGCACUUUAAGUUGGGAGGAAGGGUUGUAGAUUAAUACUCUGCAAUUUUGACGUUACCGACAGAAUAAGCACCGGCUAACUCUGUGCCAGCAGCCGCGGUAAUACAGAGGGUGCAAGCGUUAAUCGGAAUUACUGGGCGUAAAGCGCGCGUAGGUGGUUUGUUAAGUUGGAUGUGAAAUCCCCGGGCUCAACCUGGGAACUGCAUUCAAAACUGACUGACUAGAGUAUGGUAGAGGGUGGUGGA